This is a long non-coding RNA of Rhincodon typus (whale shark), 667 nucleotides long. RefSeq lists it as uncharacterized. The transcript is spliced from 2 exons. The record is from RefSeq and is a predicted model, not a curated record. NCBI's taxonomy places the organism in Eukaryota, Metazoa, Chordata, Chondrichthyes, Orectolobiformes, Rhincodontidae.
CGUAGAACACGAUUGGAAAGUGUGGGGUGGGGGGAGACAUGCGCACAGUCUGUGUGCCUGGGAGAUGGGCUGAGCUCUUAGAGCACCACUCAGUGCUCCCCCUCUCUCUCUGCUCACUUACACUCUGGCAGCUUGCUGUAUCGCUGCCUCUCCCGUUACACGGAAGGUCCCUGGAGCUGAUCUGUGAUCCUCACACACAUACAGCCCCCUCGGAGUUCCUGUUUCCGCCGAAUACUGCCUGACGCGAUCAAAUACCAGUGAAUCCACCGUCUAAUGUGCAUAUUCACAUACACAGAAAACAUCCUUCAACCAAACGGGGAAAGGAAGCGAUCUCAAGCAGCUGAGCGGAGCCCGGAACCUCCCUGACCCGGAGUGGCAGAUCAAGCAAUGAUGCAAGGCCUGGCAGAUGAUGUAAGCUCUUCCCAAGAAUUUUGCUCAACACAUGUUUAUUCUCAAAUCCUGUUGUGCACAAUUUUUUGAGUGCAUCAUUGUCUACUAAUUAACUACCUUCUACGCAAUCCCAUUUAUUUACGAAUUUGUGAAUUGAAAUUUGAUCUUGAGUGAAGAUGAGCUUCUUUCUGACAAGUGUGCUGAUUUAUGAACCAAAUCCAAUUGUUCAUUUUUCAAUCAGAUGUUUUAAUUAAAUAUGACAUCAAAAAACUUACUU